ACUCCUGCGGGAGGCAGCAGUGGGGAAUUUUGGACAAUGGGCGAAAGCCUGAUCCAGCAAUGCCGCGUGCAGGAUGAAGGCCUUCGGGUUGUAAACUGCUUUUGUACGGAACGAAAAAGCUCCUUCUAAUACAGGGGGCCCAUGACGGUACCGUAAGAAUAAGCACCGGCUAACUACGUGCCAGCAGCCGCGGUAAUACGUAGGGUGCGAGCGUUAAUCGGAAUUACUGGGCGUAAAGCGUGCGCAGGCGGUUAUGUAAGACAGAUGUGAAAUCCCCGGGCUCAACCUGGGAACUGCAUUUGUGACUGCAUGGCUAGAGUACGGUAGAGGGGGAUGGAAUUCCGCGUGUAGCAGUGAAAUGCGUAGAUAUGCGGAGGAACACCGAUGGCGAAGGCAAUCCCCUGGACCUGUACUGACGCUCAUGCACGAAAGCGUGGGGAGCAAACAGGAUUAGAUACCCUUGUAGUCCCAUG
Molecule: ribosomal RNA, 473 nt
Filed under: uncultured organism
Description: partial 16S ribosomal RNA
Rfam family: Bacterial small subunit ribosomal RNA
Source: RNAcentral